Molecule: ribosomal RNA, 212 nt
Filed under: Rusa unicolor (Sambar)
Lineage: Eukaryota; Metazoa; Chordata; Mammalia; Artiodactyla; Cervidae
Description: partial small subunit ribosomal RNA
Rfam family: Bacterial small subunit ribosomal RNA
Source: RNAcentral
CCCAAACUGGGAUUAGAUACCCCACUAUGCCUAGCCUUAAACACAAAUAGUUGUGUAAACAAAACUAUUCGCCAGAGUACUACCGGCAAUAGCUUAAAACUCAAAGGACUUGGCGGUGCUUUACACCCUUCUAGAGGAGCCUGUUCUAUAAUCGAUAAACCCCGAUAAACCUCACCAUUCCUUGCUAAUACAGUCUAUAUACCGCCAUCUUC